This 63-nucleotide transfer RNA is filed under the name Hypselodoris apolegma. RNAcentral's name for it is "tRNA-Gly". Lineage: Eukaryota; Metazoa; Mollusca; Gastropoda; Nudibranchia; Chromodorididae. The record is from RNAcentral.
CUCUAAAAAGUAUUAAUGUACAUUUGCCUUCCAAGCAAAAAGGCUAAAAAAUUAGUUUAGAGA